GUUCGUUUUCUUUCCUCUUGUGCAUCGCUUACCGUACACAGUUCGUUCUGAACUGCAUGCACAGUUCAGCCAGCGGUCAGUUCGUUCUGAACUGUAUUAUCAAUUCAUCGUUCAUCGUACACAGUUCGUUCUGAACUGGGUAUACAGUUCAUAUGAACUGCUGUCAAUAAUACGUGAGAUAAAGGAGUUAGUGAACCAUUAAAAUAACUCUAUGGCUCGAUGUGUGGCACAGGGAUGCGUGAACGUUCGGUCAUUGAUACCCGGGCUCGAGUCCAACUCGAAUUAUGAAAACAUGUCCCACAAAUUAUCAUUCCAUCGAUCCCCAAGGGUAUGUGACUAUUUGGAAGAAAUGGCUUCGAUUCUUCGGACAGGACCUAAACAGCAAUAAUAAAAACAUGUACAUUUGCUCACUUCACUUCAGUUCAGAUUGUUUCAUUCAUAUCGAUGGCUUGGAAGUACAAUAUCGUCGAAAACUGAUACAAACAACUAUUCAUACUGUCAGAAAGGCCAACGAUAUUCAUGCCUUUUGAAAUCAAAACCGGAAGGCUCGUCGAAAGAUCUUGAUGGACAUCAAGCAAAAGUUGAAUCCAUUAAAAAUAUUCGUAACAUCCGCAGAAUCGGCCCAGUUUUCUAAUGGGAGGAAACAUGACUAUCCAGAGAGGAAUAUUCCGUCAAAGGAAAUCGGGAGCAGCACCAUCAACAGUUCUAAUGAGAAACCUAGCGAUUCGGCCGGUUAUGAUAGUUUAAUUCAAGCACUGCGGCAAGAAUUAUCGAAGAACAACAGAAAGCUUCAGGAAGCUAAAAUCUAAAUUGCCGAACCACAAUUUCCCCGAGGUUUUGAUUAGAAAGAAACCCUAAUUGGAUUAUCUUUACGCUGUAAUGAAUAUAUACAUUAAGCUAAAAUAAAAUAGAAAUGAACUCAUUUAGACAAAUUUAUUAUACCAUCUCAUGAUACUUGCAAAGCUAACACGUCACAGCCUCACUACUACUCACUACAACUCUUCGAGUGACGCGACAAUCACAAUUUUUUCGCCGAUUUAAUUAUCGCACCACCUGUGGUAUGAACAAUCCACUGGACGUCUGCUGUAGCAAGUUCAACGAAGUGUCUGAUAUGUUUGACUUCGGUGUAUCAAAAAAUGUGUUUAGGCAUAGUAGGUAAAAAUAUAU
Toxorhynchites rutilus septentrionalis is the source of this 1167-nucleotide long non-coding RNA. RefSeq lists it as uncharacterized. The record is from RefSeq and is a predicted model, not a curated record. NCBI's taxonomy places the organism in Eukaryota, Metazoa, Arthropoda, Insecta, Diptera, Culicidae. The transcript is spliced from 3 exons.